UCCUCCAGAAUUCCUUUCUUCUUCCUCUCUCUUCUCUAUCUAGCCGUUGCCCCUCCGCCGCCACCAGAAAUCGCACACCGGCAGCGAACCAUCUCCAAACACCUCCAAAUUUACACCAUGUAAUCUCCACAACCUCCUCUUUCCAUGGCUCCAAACCAAAUCCUUCAAAAACCCCUCAAAAUCCUUGAAUCUUAGAUCUAGAAAAUUUUAGCCGCCACUUUUUUCCCCCAAAUUCUUGAAGCUCCGGCCACUACCACCCCACAAUACCUACAUCAACUGAUAGAGCUCCUCAAGACCUACCUAUUUAUGUCAAUUUCACCCCGAAAAUUCGCCGACCAAAAAUCCUGCCAAAUUCUGGCGACCUCCCCGAAUGCCCACGUUCGGCAUACCACCAUUGUUUUGGCCACUUGAAUUGUGAAAUGGUAAUUUUCGGACCAUGUAAACUCCUAAAAUCGAGUUGGAAUGAAAGAUAAUGAUGCUAGAAAAUAUUAGCAGCUUUUGGAUAAUGUUAUGACUAUAUAUUAGAUAAUUAAACUGUGUCAAGCAUCUUUAUUUUUAUUUUUUUCUAAAGUGUUGGAUAUAAUUCCACUAGGCCCUCAGUUGCUUGGUUGUAUGAAAGGAGUAUAUAUUAAAAUUUGAACCCAUGUAGCUAUGUU
Nicotiana tabacum (common tobacco) is the source of this 656-nucleotide long non-coding RNA. RefSeq lists it as uncharacterized. NCBI's taxonomy places the organism in Eukaryota, Viridiplantae, Streptophyta, Magnoliopsida, Solanales, Solanaceae. The record is from RefSeq and is a predicted model, not a curated record.